UCAAAAGUGAUUACGUCGAGAGUGAGUGCCUCGUAAAUAAUAGCGAUCGAUGUUUAUCAGUCGUUAAACACACGGGCCCGCGAUCAGUCAACGCUUUGUCCUGAGGUUAGCGGCAGAAGCCGUGGCGAUAAACGCGCGUUAUAAUCUGAAUACAAUCGCGUGUCUUCGUCAGUCGCCGAGUGUCGAUCGCCGCGUAUAAACAAAUGUCGGGAACGUCGAGAAAAAGUAUCGGCCGAGAUUGCGUCACGAUUGCAUUGUGUUUAAACUUAACUGCAAACGAUGGUAAAUAAUUGGUGGAUUUGGCACUGCAUGGAAAUAUCUGGAAAGCAAUACAGCCGUCAGUGAGCAGUAUAAUACAGAUACAACGGCGAUACAUCGAUUGAAACGGAGAAGCAAUUUCAAGGACGAUUAAAGAGAUAAGCUACAGGAAAAUAAUUAUGUGGAUAAUUGAAUUAGAGAGAAUUGAAAGAGAAAAUGAUAUUUGAGAUAGGCGAAUCUGUGUGAGUGCAUUCUUUAUAAUUUCAAUUUUUUUAAUACUGAUAAAGAUUAACAUUUUUUAAUAUUUAAAGAUACACGUUUAAUUUAGGUUUUUUUUUAAUAAUAUUUCGAAAAUA
Molecule: long non-coding RNA, 614 nt
Organism: Formica exsecta
Lineage: Eukaryota; Metazoa; Arthropoda; Insecta; Hymenoptera; Formicidae
Exons: 3
Source: RefSeq, a predicted model, not a curated record